RNAcentral lists this non-coding RNA (773 nucleotides) under Graphium leechi. The record is from RNAcentral. Lineage: Eukaryota; Metazoa; Arthropoda; Insecta; Lepidoptera; Papilionidae.
UAUAAAUUUUAUGAUUUAAAAAAUUUAUUUUAAAUUUAUUUUACAUAUAAAUUUUAGUAUGAAUUUUAUAUUAUUUUAAUAAUAUUAUAAAAUUAAAGUAGUAAUUAAUAUUAAAAAUUUAAGAAAUUAAGAUUUAGUAAUAUUUAUAAAUUAUAAACAAAUUUUGUGCCAGCAGUUGCGGUUAUACAAAAUAUAAUUUAAAUUGUGUUAGUAAUUAAUUAAUAUAAAUUUAAUAAAAUUAAAUAUAAGAUUAUUAAGUGAAAUUUUAAUUUAUAAAAAUUUUAAAUUAUAUUAUGUUUUGAAAAAUUUUAUAAAAAACUAGGAUUAGAUACCCUAUUAUUAAAAAUUAAAUUAAAAUACUAAAAUAGUAAUUAAUAAUUUAUUGAAACUUAAAUAAAUUGGCGGUAUUUUAGUUCAUUUAGAGGAAUCUGUUUAAUAAUUGAUAAUCCACGAAUAAAUUUACUUAAUAUAUAAUUUUGUAUAUCGUUGUUAAAAAAAUAUUUUUUAAUAAUAAUAAUAUUUUAAAAUUUUAAUAAAAAUUAGUUCAGAUCAAGAUGCAGAUAAUUAUUAAGAAUAUAAUGGAUUACAAUAAUAUAAUAAUUAAAUGAAUAAUAAUUUGUAAAAAUUAUUUGAAGGUGGAUUUAAAUGUAAUUUUAUUAAUUUUAUUAAAAUGAUUAUAAAUUAAAAUAUGUACAUAUUGCCCGUCGCUUUCAUUAAUAAAUUGAAAUAAGUCGUAACAAAGUAGAGGUACUGGAAAGUGUUUCUAGAAAGAA